UACGUAGGUGGCAAGCGUUGUCCGGAAUUAUUGGGCGUAAAGCGCGCGCAGGUGGUUUCUUAAGUCUGAUGUGAAAGCCCACGGCUCAACCGUGGAGGGUCAUUGGAAACUGGGGAACUUGAGUGCAGAAGAGGAAAGUGGAAUUCCAAGUGUAGCGGUGAAAUGCGUAGAGAUUUGGAGGAACACCAGUGGCGAAGGCGACUUUCUGGUCUGUAACUGACACUGAGAGACGAAAGCCAGGGGAGCAAACGGG
RNAcentral lists this ribosomal RNA (253 nucleotides) under uncultured bacterium. Its description in RNAcentral is "partial 16S ribosomal RNA". It matches the Rfam family "Bacterial small subunit ribosomal RNA", at positions 524 to 776 of the family's 1533-position model. The record is from RNAcentral.